GACGAACGCUGGCGGCGUGCCUAAUACAUGCAAGUAGAACGCUGAAGGAGGAGCUUGCUUCUCUGGAUGAGUUGCGAACGGGUGAGUAACGCGUAGGUAACCUGCCUGGUAGCGGGGGAUAACUAUUGGAAACGAUAGCUAAUACCGCAUAAUAGUAGAUGUUGCAUGACAUUUACUUAAAAGGUGCAAUUGCAUCACUACCAGAUGGACCUGCGUUGUAUUAGCUAGUUGGUGGGGUAACGGCUCACCAAGGCGACGAUACAUAGCCGACCUGAGAGGGUGAUCGGCCACACUGGGACUGAGACACGGCCCAGACUCCUACGGGAGGCAGCAGUAGGGAAUCUUCGGCAAUGGACGGAAGUCUGACCGAGCAACGCCGCGUGAGUGAAGAAGGUUUUCGGAUCGUAAAGCUCUGUUGUAAGAGAAGGACGAGUGUGAGAGUGGAAAGUUCACACUGUGACGGUAUCUUACCAGAAAGGGACGGCUAACUACGUGCCAGCAGCCGCGGUAAUACGUAGGUCCCGAGCGUUGUCCGGAUUUAUUGGGCGUAAAGCGAGCGCAGGCGGUUAGAUAAGUCUGAAGUUAAAGGCUGUGGCUUAACCAUAGUACGCUUUGGAAACUGUUUAACUUGAGUGCAAGAGGGGAGAGUGGAAUUCCAUGUGUAGCGGUGAAAUGCGUAGAUAUAUGGAGGAACACCGGUGGCGAAAGCGGCUCUCUGGCUUGUAACUGACGCUGAGGCUCGAAAGCGUGGGGAGCAAACAGG
This 763-nucleotide ribosomal RNA is filed under the name uncultured Streptococcus sp. RNAcentral's name for it is "bacterial SSU rRNA". It matches the Rfam family "Bacterial small subunit ribosomal RNA", at positions 28 to 776 of the family's 1533-position model. Lineage: Bacteria; Bacillati; Bacillota; Bacilli; Lactobacillales; Streptococcaceae. The record is from RNAcentral.